This 1546-nucleotide long non-coding RNA is filed under the name Capra hircus (goat). RNAcentral's name for it is "lncRNA (ENSCHIG00000007015.1)". The record is from RNAcentral. Lineage: Eukaryota; Metazoa; Chordata; Mammalia; Artiodactyla; Bovidae.
GCUACAGAGCGGGGCGGUAGACCGACCGCCGUCGACAUUCACGAGGCACAGCAGCGCCACCUGGCGGCUCUGCCUUCCCCCGCGACAGAGGAGCGGCUUCCGUGGAGCGACAAGACGCGCCCGCAGGCGGUGAGCGGGAACCCUGUGUAACCGCCAAGGCUGAGGCAGACGCCGGGAGAAAAGCCAUCAAUAUUCAUGGCACCCCUUAAAGCUCGGGCCUGUCCGUCUGCCUGAGAAUAAAGUUUGUUCCUCGAAAACUACUGUCCAAGCUGUCAGCUCUGGAAGCGGAGAGAAGAUGAAACCUCUCCUCCCGGCGCCGCCUCCUUUCCCCCGCUGCCCCCCAGGCAUGGGGACCAGGAAGAGGGUCUAAUUUAUUUGAGGUGGGGGGCCUUAGAGCUGUCGCUGGGGUCGGAGCUGUGUGAGGGGGUCCCCGUCAGUCACAACCCGCUCCUUGCCUCUUGCUUUCCUGGCCAGGUCUGAAGAUGGGAAAAGCCUGUGUGUGGCCGUCGCGAAACAGGGACCCUGGAAGCUCUGUGUUCUCCCGGGUAUGAGUCUUGCACAGAGCAAGCCAUCCCACCGGAAACAGCCCUCUGUCCUCAGAAGAGUCAGUGCAGGACAGGCAGCCAGACCUGGAAGCCGGCUUGGAGACUCUGGAAGCUUUACAUUCCUUCCCCAGCAGGAGAGACUGAUUUUUCUUUCUUGUCUCUGCCUGCAGACUUCCACUCAGCCCGCCAGCCAGGGAAGGAAGCUCUGCAAAGGACAAAGAAGGCUGAGCCUGGGGGAAGGUUCUCCGGUGGGCAGAACCUAUAGUGUCUUCAGCCUCCUGUCUGCCUCAGCUUUUUAUACAGUAAGUGCUCAACAAAUGGUCAACAAAGUAAAUUGCAUCUAGUCUUGCAGCUUCUUGAACACGCUUUGUGGUGUGUGCCCUGUUUGUGGUUGCUUAGUUGCGAAGUUUCAUCCGCCUCUUUUGUGACCCCGUGAACUGUAGCCCACCCGGCUCCUCUGUCCAUGGGAUUUUUCCAGGCAAGAAUACUGGAAUGGGUUGCCACGCCCUCCUCCAGGGGAUCUUCCCAACCCAGGGAUAGAACCCGCAUCUCCUGCACUGGCAGGCGGAUUCUUUGCCCCUGAGCCACCAAGAAAGCCCCUUAAACCAGUUAGUCUAUAGCAUUUCGUUAUGCCAGCCUGAGUAGUGGUGAAGUGUUUCUGAAACAACUUCCGUGACCCACCAAGGAAUGAAAGUCAGACAGGAAAUUCCGGAAUGCCGUGAUCCUGAACAUCCACGCAUCCCUUCCCUCUCUUGAUUCUUACAGAAAUACUUGUCAAACACCUGCCAGGUGUCAGACCCUGUGCCAGGCACUCAAAACUGUGGAAACUAGAGCGGAGUCCCCGCCUUGUGGAGCUGACAUUUGAAAGGGCCAAGGCAUCAGAUCAUGACAAUGUCAUUAAAACAGGUAAGGGCUAUGGAGGAUGUGCGUGGUUCUUCUCUGAACUUCUAGUCCCUUUCAGGGAUAGAGGGCCUGGCUCAGGCAGCAGAGCUGAGUCCAGA